Molecule: ribosomal RNA, 993 nt
Filed under: Triticum aestivum (bread wheat)
Lineage: Eukaryota; Viridiplantae; Streptophyta; Magnoliopsida; Poales; Poaceae
Description: partial small subunit ribosomal RNA
Source: RNAcentral
AUGCUAAACCUGCCUUGGGAUCUCCUUUUUGGAAAAGCAUCUCCUGGGCUUUUGCUGCUGCAAGAAGGGAUUGGAUUGUUGACUUACCCAUUCAGUGACAUUGGCACUGGACGUUCCAAAAAUGGGAACUUUUGGAGAUGGAACCCUGGGAAUGGGGAACAUAUUGCUUUCUGGCAUGAUAAUUGGGUUGGGGGUUGUUCCCUGAAAACUGCCUUUUGGGAUUUGUAUGCUAUAUGUCAACAACAAGACGAUGCUACUUUAUCUCAAGUUUGGGAUGGGGUGCAACUGUGUCUCACCUUCAGGAGAUGUGUGGAUGAGUUCAUGUUGCAUAAGUGGGACAUGUUAGUUGACUUGGUUAAACAAACUACUCUAUCCGGCCAACCAGAUAGCCCCUUCUGGGGCCUGGAGUCAAAUGGUCAAUACUCUAUUAAAUCAUUCUAUAAGCUGAUUAACUUCGGUGGGGUGACUUCUGAUAUUAGAGAUUUCAUAUGGAAGAUUAAAGUCCCCCCAAAUAUACAUGCUUUCUUGUGGCUGAUGUAUAACAACAAAAGUUUGCCUAGAGAUAAUCUGGCCAAAAGAAGACAUGUAGAGGAUGAAACUUGUGUGUUUUGUGCUGAACCAGAAUCCAUUCAACACCUUUUGUUUGAUUGCAUUGUUGCAUCUGAAAUCUGGGCUAUGAUUGCCGAAGCGUUUAACAUUACCCCUCCUGCAUAUUUUGAACCUUUGGCUUCUUUCUGGAAGAAGAAAAAACAAUGUGAGGCUAUUAAUAUUGCCACAUCUGCUACCUUGUGGUGCUUAUGGCUUUUCCACAAUGGUUUUGUUUUCCAGGGGAGAAGCUGGCGAGAUAUUUGUUGUGUGCUGGAUCAGGUGGUGGCAACAAUCAGGCAGUGGAAAAUCUUAUCUUCAGAGGCUCAGGGUGCUCUACUUCUCCAGUGCUUAAGGCUUUUGGAUUGGCAAAGAGGGGAACUGCUUAGAAUUGCUUGGGUUAGCUAG